RNAcentral lists this ribosomal RNA (301 nucleotides) under uncultured bacterium. Its description in RNAcentral is "partial 16S ribosomal RNA". It matches the Rfam family "Bacterial small subunit ribosomal RNA", at positions 509 to 807 of the family's 1533-position model. The record is from RNAcentral.
CAGUAGCCGCGGGAAUACGUAGGGUGCAAGCGUUAAUCGGAAUUACUGAGCGUAAAGCGUGCGCAGGCGGUCCGCUAAGACAGAUGUGAAAUCCCCGGGCUUAACCUGGGAACUGCAUUUGUGACUGGCGGGCUAGAGUAUGGCAGAGGGGGGUAGAAUUCCACGUGUAGCAGUGAAAUGCGUAGAGAUGUGGAGGAAUACCGAUGGCGAAGGCAGCCCCCUGGGCCAAUACUGACGCUCAUGCACGAAAGCGUGGGGAGCAAACAGGAUUAGAUACCCCGGUAGUCCCUGUCUCUUAUAC